Molecule: ribosomal RNA, 565 nt
Filed under: uncultured Glomeromycotina
Lineage: Eukaryota; Fungi; Glomeromycota
Description: SSU rRNA
Rfam family: Eukaryotic small subunit ribosomal RNA
Source: RNAcentral
UUGGAGGGCAAGUCUGGUGCCAGCAGCCGCGGUAAUUCCAGCUCCAAUAGCGUAUAUUAAAGUUGUUGCAGUUAAAAAGCUCGUAGUUGAAUUUCGGGGUUAGUAGGUUGGUCAUGCCUCUGGUAUGUACUGGUCUCACUGAUUCCUCCUUCCUGAUGAACCUUAAUGCCAUUAAUUUGGUGUUUUGGGGAAUUUGGACUGUUACUUUGAAAAAAUUAGAGUGUUUAAAGCAAGCCAACGCUUGAAUACAUUAGCAUGGAAUAAUGAAAUAGGACGUUCGAUCCUAUUUUGUUGGUUUCUAGGAUUGACGUAAUGAUUAAUAGGGAUAGUUGGGGGCAUUAGUAUUCAAUUGUCAGAGGUGAAAUUCUUGGAUUUAUUGAAGACUAACUACUGCGAAAGCAUUUGCCAAGGAUGUUUUCAUUAAUCAAGAACGAAAGUUAGGGGAUCGAAGACGAUCAGAUACCGUCGUAGUCUUAACCAUAAACUAUGCCGACUAGGGAUCGGAUGAUGUUAAUUUUUUAAUGACUCAUUCGGCGCCUUACGGGAAACCAAAGUGUUUGGGUUC